Molecule: ribosomal RNA, 482 nt
Filed under: Clostridium perfringens
Lineage: Bacteria; Bacillati; Bacillota; Clostridia; Eubacteriales; Clostridiaceae
Description: partial 23S ribosomal RNA
Rfam family: Bacterial large subunit ribosomal RNA
Source: RNAcentral
GGUCAAGUGAAGAAGCGCAUACGGUGGAUGCCUUGGCAGUCAGAGGCGAUGAAAGACGUGGUAGCCUGCGAAAAGGUUCGGGGAGUCGGCAAACAGACUUUGAUCCGGAGAUCUCUGAAUGGGGGAACCCACCUAGGAUAACCUAGGUAUCUUGUACUGAAUCCAUAGGUGCAAGAGGCGAACCAGGGGAACUGAAACAUCUAAGUACCCUGAGGAAAAGAAAUCAACCGAGAUUCCCUUAGUAGUGGCGAGCGAACGGGGAUUAGCCCUUAAGCUUCAUUGAUUUUAGCGGAACGCUCUGGAAAGUGCGGCCAUAGUGGGUGAUAGCCCCGUACGCGAAAGGAUCUUUGAAGUGAAAUCGAGUAGGACGGAGCACGAGAAACCCUGUCUGAAUAUGGGGGGACCAUCCUCCAAGGCUAAAUACUCCUGACUGACCGAUAGUGAACCAGUACCGUGAGGGAAAGGCGAAAAGAACCCCGGCG